CAGCCGCGUAAUUCCAGCUCCAAUAGCGUAUAUUAGUGUUGUUGCGGUUAAAAAGCUCGUAGUUGAAUUUCGGGAUUGGGAUAUAUCGGUCAUGCCUUUAGGGGCAUGAAUCGGUGUGUAGCCAAUUUCUCACCUUCUGGUGAAUUGGGAUGCUCUUGGGUGUUUCAAUGAACUAGGACUUUUACUUUGAAAAAAAUAUAGUGUUUAAAGCGGGCAUUUUUGCUUGAAUACAUUAGCAUGGAAUAAUAAAAUAGGACGAUGGUUCUAUUUUGUUGGUUUUAGGACCACGUAAUGAUUAAUAGGGAUAGUUGGGGGCAUUAGUAUUCAAUAGUCAGAGGUGAAAUUCUUGGAUUUAUUGAGGACUAACUACUGCGAAAGCAUUUGCCAAGGAUGUUUUCAUUAAUCAAGAACGAAAGUUAGGGGAUCGAAGACGAUUUAUGUACGUCGUAGUCUUAACCAUAAACUAUGCCGACUAGGAAUCAGACAAAGUUCAUUUUUUAACGACUUGUUUGGUACCUUACG
RNAcentral lists this unclassified non-coding RNA (522 nucleotides) under uncultured Glomeromycotina. RNAcentral describes it as "SSU rRNA". It matches the Rfam family "Eukaryotic small subunit ribosomal RNA", at positions 571 to 1092 of the family's 1831-position model. Lineage: Eukaryota; Fungi; Glomeromycota. The record is from RNAcentral.